Long non-coding RNA from Crotalus tigris (Tiger rattlesnake), 1245 nucleotides. RefSeq lists it as uncharacterized. Lineage: Eukaryota; Metazoa; Chordata; Lepidosauria; Squamata; Viperidae. The record is from RefSeq and is a predicted model, not a curated record. The transcript is spliced from 3 exons.
GUGACAUACAACUGCUGGUAUUAUUUCUGCCUUUUAAGCUUUCCAAUGUAGUAAAUGCAGACAGCUUUUAACACUCAAAUUUGUAGAGUAAUAAAGACAACCACCCAAACUCACAAAAGCACACUGCAGCAUUUAAUGUGAUGCUCAAGAUAAGAGGACUGGGUUCAGUACUCCUGGAAUUUGAGUUAUAGGAUUCCAAUGCAGAAAUUUAAAUCACGGGAUAUUUGUUUGUCCAUUUGAUAAAGCACUUUGCCCCUUCUGUCCCACAUUUUAAAAUCAUAUUAACGUUUUGAAUGAGGAUGAUCCUCUGUCUGGCUGCCUUUCAAACAAAGAAAAAGAGGAGGAGCCCUGUUCCCAACUAGUGGAAAUAAAGGGAAAUCAACCUCCAGUCUCUCUAAACUUGACCUCUUCUGAUUUCUUCCUGAAUCCUGAUUAUUCCAAGGUAUACUCCAUUUUUAGGAACUUGUCACUUCCUGCCAGGACUUACUUUUUCUUUUGCAAUUGAGAUCAGCUGUACAUGCUGUUCUCUCAAUCGUUCCUUAGAUAGCAACCUAAGAUGGGUCAAGUUCUAACAAGGAAAGAAACAAAGACUCAUUCUAUUAUAAGUGCUAUUCUAAGCUACCACACAAUGGCUCAGCAGUUAAAGAUGCCGAGCUUCUCAGCUAAAAAGCUGACACCCAGAGUAAAGACCUGAGUACCACUCAACAGGGUAAGUUCCCAUUACUUGGCUCACCUAGCAGUUUGAAAGCAUCCAAAUAUCAGUAGAUAAUUAGGUAACAUUUUAAUGGGAAAGAUAACAGCCUUCCAUGUGCUUAUGGCAUAUAGUCAUGCUGGCCACAUGACCAUAGAAGUGUCUUUGGACAAUGCUGGGCCCCUUGGCUAGGAAACAGUGAAGAGCACCAUCCUCUAGACUGGACAGUGGAAAUCUUUACCUUUACUUUUACCAUUUUGAUAUGUUGAAAAGAAAGGUUUGUCUAGAUAAUUUUCUUGAGCAUUGCUAUUGUAUAGUUAGUAUUGAUGAAUAAGGCUGCUAAAGUGUCCCAUUAAGCAACAGACCAUAUCAAUGAAAACAUAUCACAAAUUUAACCAAAAUAAGAGUUAAUAAGUUUAACCAAAAUUAGAAGUCUUCUAGUCCACCACCCCCACUACACCAAUCCAGACAAAUGGCUUUCCAAUCUCUUCUUAAAAGCCUCGAGGGAUGGAGCAUCUACAACUUCUGAAGGCAAGCUAUUCCACUGGUUAAUU